UACGUAGGGUGCAAGCGUUGUCCGGAAUUAUUGGGCGUAAAGAGCUCGUAGGCGGUUUGUCGCGUCGAAUGUGAAAUCCCGGGGCUCAACCCCGGGUCUGCAUUCGAUACGGGCAGACUAGAGUUCGGUAGGGGAGUCUGGAAUUCCUGGUGUAGCGGUGAAAUGCGCAGAUAUCAGGAGGAACACCGAUGGCGAAGGCAGGUCUCUGGGCCAUAACUGACGCUGAGAAGCGAAAGCAUGGGGAGCGAACAGG
RNAcentral lists this ribosomal RNA (253 nucleotides) under uncultured bacterium. RNAcentral's name for it is "partial 16S ribosomal RNA". It matches the Rfam family "Bacterial small subunit ribosomal RNA", at positions 524 to 776 of the family's 1533-position model. The record is from RNAcentral.